RNAcentral lists this ribosomal RNA (460 nucleotides) under uncultured Methylomirabilota bacterium. RNAcentral describes it as "bacterial SSU rRNA". It matches the Rfam family "Bacterial small subunit ribosomal RNA", at positions 977 to 1434 of the family's 1533-position model. The record is from RNAcentral. Lineage: Bacteria; Methylomirabilota (SeqCode).
GGGCUUGACAUCCCACGAAUCCCGCCGAAAGGCGGGGGUGCCCGCAAGGGAGCGCGGAGACAGGUGGUGCAUGGCUGUCGUCAGCUCGUGUCGUGAGAUGUUGGGUUAAGUCCCGCAACGAGCGCAACCCUCACCCCUUGUUGCCAUCAGGUCAGGCUGGGCACUCUAGGGGAACUGCCCCGGUCAACGGGGAGGAAGGUGGGGACGACGUCAAGUCAUCAUGCCCCUUACGUCCUGGGCUACACACGUGCUACAAUGGCCGGUACAAAGGGAUGCAAGACCGCGAGGUUGAGCUAAACCCAAAAAGCCGGUCUAAGUUCAGAUUGGAGUCUGCAACUCGACUCCAUGAAGGAGGAAUCGCUAGUAAUCGCGCAUCAGCACGGCGCGGUGAAUACGUUCCCGGGCCUUGUACACACCGCCCGUCACACCACGAAAGCCAGUUGUACUCGAAGUCGCUGAG